AUGCACAUGCAUGAGCACACACUCACAUAUGCACACACACUCACGCGUGCACACAUGCACUCAUGCAUCCACACACACAGUCAUACAUCCACAUGCACUUGCAUAUGCACACACAUGCACUCAUGCAUGCACACACGCACUCAUAAAUACACUCACACAUGCACACACUCACACAUGCACAUGCGUACUCAUACAUAUGCGCAGACGCACCCCCACAUGCACUCAUACAUCCACACACUCACUUGCAUAUGCACACAUGUGCAUUCAUACAUCUGCACACGCACACUCACAAGUGUGCACACACACUCACAUAUGCACUCAUACAUCCACACACUCAUUUGCAUAUGCACAUGCACUCACACGUGCACUCACAUAUGCACACAUGCAUUUACACACACACACAUGCACUCACGCAUGCACAUGGACGCACACACACACAUCAUCCAAAACAGUUCCCUGGAGCAUCUGUGUCUUCCCCACUCCCUGCAGGUCUGGCUGCGGACACGUCCUCCUGCCGCCGCUGGAUGGCAGUGUAGACCCGCGGAUCCGAGGCCUGGCCCGCAGCUGGGGCUGUGCUCCUCCACCUGGGCCCCUGCUUCCUGGAGAGCUCCGAACAAAACAAGUGCACCCGCUCUUUGGCCACGGGUCAGUGCGGCACCUCCGGACCCCAGGCUCUGGCCUCAACCAGGCCGUCCCCCCUCCUCUGCGGAUCAGACGCUGCAAGCUGCAAUCAGGCUCCUUCUGAGAAGUUGGGGAAUAAAUUCGGGACCGUGGUCUGACCUCACGCCCGGUUGUUGGCAUCCUAUCAGGUUCGCUCUGACAGGGUCCUCGUCCUGGGGGGGCAAGGGGCACCAGGGGGCAGCCACAAGGCCGUGUGUCCCCUCGGAGGUCAGCCGAGUGCAGGACACGGCAGGAGGGGCUGGACCCGCUGAGCUCCCUCCAAUUUCUCCAGAGUCGGAGGUGACACAAGGGCACAGACGUGUCACCCUCCAUCCCCCUCACCUCCAAGUGAGAGAGAGGAAGCCUCGAGGGGGGUCCGGGGCUCCCCCAGGAUGGCGCACAAGCCAGGAGAGGAGCCCCGGGGGAGGCGGGUGCACGCCUCCGACCCGCCCUCUGACGGAGAGCAGGGCCUCUGUGCGGGGUGCAGGAAAGGCACCGCGGGGCAGAGGCUUCGGGGACCCCGUCCGUGCCCUGCCCCAGCACAGCUGCGAGCCCCCACCCACUGGAUGGGCCCCGGGGAGGCGUCCCUUCGGAGAGAGGCGGGCACUGGGCGGUAGGUGGGGAGCACCAGGCUGGGGGCAUGCUGGACGGUGA
RNAcentral lists this long non-coding RNA (1314 nucleotides) under Canis lupus familiaris (dog). RNAcentral describes it as "lncRNA (ENSCAFG00040004551.1)". Lineage: Eukaryota; Metazoa; Chordata; Mammalia; Carnivora; Canidae. The record is from RNAcentral.